This 468-nucleotide ribosomal RNA is filed under the name uncultured bacterium. Its description in RNAcentral is "partial 16S ribosomal RNA". It matches the Rfam family "Bacterial small subunit ribosomal RNA", at positions 28 to 507 of the family's 1533-position model. The record is from RNAcentral.
GACGAACGCUGGCGGCGUGCUUAACACAUGCAAGUCGAACGGAAAGGCCCUGCUUUUGUGGGGUGCUCGAGUGGCGAACGGGUGAGUAACACGUGAGUAACCUGCCCUUGACUUUGGGAUAACUUCAGGAAACUGGGGCUAAUACCGGAUAGGAGCUCCUGCUGCAUGGUGGGGGUUGGAAAGUUUCGGCGGUUGGGGAUGGACUCGCGGCUUAUCAGCUUGUUGGUGGGGUAGUGGCUUACCAAGGCUUUGACGGGUAGCCGGCCUGUGAGGGUGACCGGCCACAUUGGGACGGAGAUACGGCCCAGACUCGUACGGGAGGCAGCAGUGGGGAAUAUUGCACAAUGGGCGGAAGCCUGAUGCAGCAACGCCGCGUGCGGGAUGACGGCCUUCGGGUUGUAAACCGCUUUCGCCUGUGACGAAGCGUGAGUGACGGUAAUGGGUAAAGAAGCACCGGCUAACUACGUG